This 72-nucleotide transfer RNA is filed under the name Amycolatopsis lurida. RNAcentral's name for it is "tRNA_Met_CAT". RNAcentral also lists the same sequence under 1 other name. Lineage: Bacteria; Bacillati; Actinomycetota; Actinomycetes; Pseudonocardiales; Pseudonocardiaceae. The record is from RNAcentral.
CACUCGCUGACACGGUGGCGGAGGGGACUCAUAAUCCCUUGGCCGUCGGUUCGAGCCCGACCCGGCCAACCA